RNAcentral lists this ribosomal RNA (593 nucleotides) under Penicillium citrinum. RNAcentral's name for it is "eukaryotic LSU rRNA". It matches the Rfam family "Eukaryotic large subunit ribosomal RNA", at positions 40 to 648 of the family's 3401-position model. Lineage: Eukaryota; Fungi; Ascomycota; Eurotiomycetes; Eurotiales; Aspergillaceae. The record is from RNAcentral.
AUAUCAAUAAGCGGAGGAAAAGAAACCAACCGGGAUUGCCCUAGUAACGGCGAGUGAAGCGGCAAGAGCUCAAAUUUGAAAGCUGGCCCCCUCGGGGUCCGCAUUGUAAUUUGCAGAGGAUGCUUCGGGAACGGCCCCCAUCUAAGUGCCCUGGAACGGGCCGUCAUAGAGGGUGAGAAUCCCGUCUGGGAUGGGGUGGCCGCGCCCGUGUGAAGCUCCUUCGACGAGUCGAGUUGUUUGGGAAUGCAGCUCUAAUUGGGUGGUAAAUUUCAUCUAAAGCUAAAUAUUGGCCGGAGACCGAUAGCGCACAAGUAGAGUGAUCGAAAGAUGAAAAGCACUUUGAAAAGAGAGUUAAACAGCACGUGAAAUUGUUGAAAGGGAAGCGCUUGCGACCAGACUCGCCCGCGGGGUUCAGCCGGCACUCGUGCCGGUGUACUUCCCCGCGGGCGGGCCAGCGUCGGUUUGGGCGGCCGGUCAAAGGCCUCUGGAAGGUAACGCCUCUCGGGGCGUCUUAUAGCCAGGGGUGCCAUGCGGCCUGCCCGGACCGAGGAACGCGCUUCGGCUCGGACGCUGGCAUAAUGGUCGUAAGCGAC